CAAGCGCCAGCCAGGGAAUCACACCUGCCCUAAAUAUUCAGGGAUGGGCCAAUCUGUGCCUGGGUACAGGAGCUGCUGCCUCCCCAGUAAAAAGAUGCUGGCCUUCCAAUGUCUCAAGUUUGCCAUGAGACACAAAUGUAUCCUGUGAUGACGGAUUUGCUGAGCGCAAAUAAUGAAAUCCAAAUGGAAAAGGAUCCAAAUGGAAAAGUCCACCAUUGCAAAGAGACAUUGCGGUGCCACUGAGAGCCCCAUUGCAAAAGGAUUA
Vidua chalybeata is the source of this 265-nucleotide long non-coding RNA. RefSeq lists it as uncharacterized. The record is from RefSeq and is a predicted model, not a curated record. NCBI's taxonomy places the organism in Eukaryota, Metazoa, Chordata, Aves, Passeriformes, Viduidae. The transcript is spliced from 3 exons.